CAGUCGCCGCGGUAAUACGGAGGGUGCAAGCGUUAUCCGGAUUCACUGGGUUUAAAGGGUGCGUAGGCGGGCAGGUAAGUCAGUGGUGAAAUCUUCGAGCUUAACUCGGAAACUGCCGUUGAUACUAUCUGUCUUGAAUAACGUUGAGGUGAGCGGAAUAUGUCAUGUAGCGGUGAAAUGCUUAGAUAUGACAUAGAACACCGAUUGCGAAGGCAGCUCACUAAACGCUCACUGACGCUGAGGCACGAAAGCGUGGGGAUCAAACAGGAUUAGAGACCCCCGUAGUCCCUGUCUCUUAUAC
This 301-nucleotide ribosomal RNA is filed under the name uncultured bacterium. Its description in RNAcentral is "partial 16S ribosomal RNA". It matches the Rfam family "Bacterial small subunit ribosomal RNA", at positions 509 to 807 of the family's 1533-position model. The record is from RNAcentral.